RNAcentral lists this ribosomal RNA (407 nucleotides) under uncultured bacterium. RNAcentral's name for it is "partial 16S ribosomal RNA". It matches the Rfam family "Bacterial small subunit ribosomal RNA", at positions 30 to 526 of the family's 1533-position model. The record is from RNAcentral.
AUUGAACGCUGGCGGCAGGCCUAACACAUGCAAGUCGAGCGGAGCGGCGGACGGGUGAGUAAUGCCUAGGAAUCGGCCUGGUAGUGGGGGAUAACGUCCGGAAACGGGAGCUAAUACCGCAUACUAUCAGAUGAGCCAAGGUCGGAUUAGCUAGGUGGGGGGGUAAAGGCCUACCAAGGCGACGAUCCGUAACUGGUCUGAGAGGAUGAUCAGUCACACUGGAACUGAGACACGGUCCAGACUCCUACGGGAGGCAGCAGUGGGGAAUAUUGGACAAUGGGCUAAAGCCUGAUCCAGCCAUGCCGCGUGUGUGAAGAAGGUCUUCGGAUUGUAAAGCACUUUCAGCGGGGAGGCGUUACCCGCAGAAGAAGCACCGGCUAACUCCGUGCCAGCAGCCGCGGUAAUUC